RNAcentral lists this ribosomal RNA (385 nucleotides) under uncultured Actinomycetes bacterium. RNAcentral's name for it is "bacterial SSU rRNA". It matches the Rfam family "Bacterial small subunit ribosomal RNA", at positions 1073 to 1447 of the family's 1533-position model. Lineage: Bacteria; Bacillati; Actinomycetota; Actinomycetes. The record is from RNAcentral.
UGUUGAGUGUAAGUUCCCGCAAACGAGGCGCAACCCCCCUUUGUUAUGUUGCCAGGCACGUAAUGGUGGAAACUUCAUAGGAGACUGCCGGGGUCAACUCGGAGGAAGGUGGGAUGAACGUCAAAUCAUCAUGCCCCUCUUGUCUUGGGCUUCACGGCAUGCUACAAUGGGCGGUACAAAGGGCUGCAAUACCGCAAGGUGGAGCGAAUCCCAAAAAGCCGGUCUCAGUUCAGAUUGAGGUCUGCAACUCGACCUCAUGAAGUCGGAGUCGCUAGUAAUCGCAGAUCAGCAACGCUGCGGUGAAUACGUUCCCGGGCCUUGUACACACCGCCCGUCAAGUCAUGAAAGUCGGUAACACCCGAAGCCAGUGGCCCAACCGCAAGGA